This is a long non-coding RNA of Pollicipes pollicipes, 804 nucleotides long. RefSeq lists it as uncharacterized. The transcript is spliced from 3 exons. The record is from RefSeq and is a predicted model, not a curated record. Lineage: Eukaryota; Metazoa; Arthropoda; Thecostraca; Pollicipedomorpha; Pollicipedidae.
GCGGUGCGGGGGCCGGCCGGGCUUGUGGGCGCAGCAACCCUGAAUUGCGGCGGGGCAUUGGUAGUUUCUUUUCACGCGUGACGUGCUUUCCGUGCUGAUCUCUGGGUUGAAGAUCAGAGGUUGGCUGCUGGAAUAUAGACAAAAAUUCAAGCUAGAAACCUGCUACGCCAUCCAACUAGUCAUUUGUGCGACCACGCAUCGACCCGUCCCGGUUUACCCGGAGAAGGUCUUCGAUUGACAAUUUGGAUUAUUCGUCUAAUGAGUCUGGGCGUCCGGUGACCGAGCCGGCAUGGGUGGCUGCCUGUCGAAGGAUUUGAAAGUUGAAGCUCAGGACAUCGGUGUCAUGGGUCAGACCAACUCUCAAAAUGUGCAACGUGGAGUGACGCCCCCCAGCCACCAGACGCCAUCCAGAAAUGGCGGCCCGGCCGGCGGUGGUCACGUGCGCAGUGACGUCAUUCGUACCGCCAGCUCAGGUGAGGUCAGGCGCCACAUAGGCAGAGGUGCGCCCUCCUGCUCAACAGUGGCGUUAGGGCCCGGCGCGCGUCGGACGGCACUCAGUUUUGUGCUGAAGCAGUCAGCUGUUAACGCGGGAAUGUGCGUGCUUCUUCCGCCACUCUCACCUCAUAAAUGUUGUAAGGACGGUAAAGUAACAGUGAGUGAAAUUCCUUUUUGAAUGUGACAGAUGUGUUGAAGGAUUUGCAGUAUUAGUGCUAUGUUGUCGUCCUUUGUUAUUGUUAAUAUCAUCACCGUUUCCGUAUCCUUCAAAGGUGCGCAAAAGCCGGACAUUAGUGGCGAAGAAGCUGU